CUGUAGAUGCAAGGAAAAGAAGUCCUUGCGCUUUCUGUCUGUCUGGUUGUGGCAGCCAAGAUUGAAUGGGGGAAGACAGGA
RNAcentral lists this small nucleolar RNA (81 nucleotides) under Dasypus novemcinctus (nine-banded armadillo). RNAcentral describes it as "Small nucleolar RNA SNORA31 (ENSDNOG00000030257.1)". The record is from RNAcentral. Lineage: Eukaryota; Metazoa; Chordata; Mammalia; Cingulata; Dasypodidae.